CUUGAGCUUCGGUUUGGGUGGCGGACGGGUGAGUAACGCGUAAAGAACUUGCCUCACAGUUAGGGACAACAUUUGGAAACGAAUGCUAAUACCUGAUAUUAUGAUUUUAGGGCAUCCUAAGAUUAUGAAAGCUAUAUGCGCUGUGAGAGAGCUUUGCGUCCCAUUAGCUAGUUGGAGAGGUAACGGCUCACCAAGGCGAUGAUGGGUAGCCGGCCUGAGAGGGUGAACGGCCACAAGGGGACUGAGACACGGCCCUUACUCCUACGGGAGGCAGCAGUGGGGAAUAUUGGACAAUGGACCAAAAGUCUGAUCCAGCAAUUCUGUGUGCACGAUGACGUCUUUCGGAAUGUAAAGUGCUUUCAGUUGGGAAGAAAAAAAUGACGGUACCAACAGAAGAAGUGACGGCUAAAUACGUGCCAGCAGCCGCGGUAAUACGUAUGUCACAAGCGUUAUCCGGAUUUAUUGGGCGUAAAGCGCGUCUAGGUGGUUAUGUAAGUCUGAUGUGAAAAUGCAGGGCUCAACUCUGUAUUGCGUUGGAAACUGCAUGACUAGAGUACUGGAGAGGUAAGCGGAACUACAAGUGUAGAGGUGAAAUUCGUAGAUAUUUGUAGGAAUGCCGAUGGGGAAGCCAGCUUACUGGACAGAUACUGACGCUAAAGCGCGAAAGCGUGGGUAGCAAACAGGGUUAGAUACCCUGGUAGUCCACGCCGUAAACGAUGAUUACUAGGUGUUGGGGG
Molecule: ribosomal RNA, 737 nt
Filed under: uncultured Fusobacterium sp.
Lineage: Bacteria; Fusobacteriati; Fusobacteriota; Fusobacteriia; Fusobacteriales; Fusobacteriaceae
Description: bacterial SSU rRNA
Rfam family: Bacterial small subunit ribosomal RNA
Source: RNAcentral